UACGGGGGGGGUAAGCGUUGCUCGGAAUUACUGGGCGUAAAGGGCUCGUAGGCGGCCAACUAAGUCAUACGUGAAAUCCCUCAGCUUAACUGGGGAACUGCGUGUGAUACUGGAUGGCUUGGAUUUGGGAGAGGGAUGCGGAAUUCCAGGUGUAGCGGUGAAAUGCGUAGAUAUCUGGAGGAACACCGGUGGCGAAGGCGGCAUCCUGGACCAAUAUUGACGCUGAGGAGCGAAAGCUAGGGGAGCAAACGGG
RNAcentral lists this ribosomal RNA (253 nucleotides) under uncultured bacterium. RNAcentral's name for it is "partial 16S ribosomal RNA". It matches the Rfam family "Bacterial small subunit ribosomal RNA", at positions 524 to 776 of the family's 1533-position model. The record is from RNAcentral.